GCCAAAAAGACAAGCGAAACCUGCCGCAGACGAAGGGUUUUGGGAUUGUAGCGUCUGCACCUUCAGAAACAGUGCUGAAGCCUUUAAAUGCAGCAUCUGCGAUGUGAGGAAAGGCACCUCCACCAGAUACAAACUUUUUCAACGGUCGCAUACAUAGAAGUGCACAAAUCGUGAUGAUGUCCACACCUUUCCACAUCUCCUCAGGAGCUGGUGAUUCCCAGAUACUAUUUGUUAACCUGCAUCACCACUCCCAUGCACACGAACACAGGACAAACAAAUCCAGCUGCUUCCUGGCAUCUCUACUUGAACAACUUAAAGGCAAUUCAGAUCCCACAGGGUGAAAAGCUGAAUUCAUCUAUCAGAGUGUUUUCUAAAAUCCCAAGUAGAUUAUGUCCCAUUCCUGCUUAAAAUGAUCUCCUGAUUCUCAUUGCCUUUUGGAUAAAAUCCAAUCCUGAGUAUCAACAAGGGGCUUGUGAUUUGGUCCUUUUCUGUGUCAUUCUUUAGAAUUUCUGGAAGCAGCCUAUCAUCGCUCCGUCUGCCCUCCAUACACAGCGUUUGUGUGUGUUAUGCCAAACUGCUUGGUGUUUUCCAACCGUGGACCAUGAUAUCUCACUUCCUUAACCUUACCUUCAUAUGCUUUUCCUUUGUGUCUUCUUCUGAAAUGCUUCUUCCUUUUGUCCAGGCUGACUCCUGUUUGUCUGAGACUUGUGUCUCAGGAAGCCUUUCCGUUCCCCUCCAGUCAUUCAUACCUCUGUCAUAACACAUAGACUGUAUUUUUAAUUUGAUUUCCAAUCUGUCUCUUUUAGGUUGUCACCUUUUUUGAGGGCAAGACCUUUUUGUUUCAUGGCUUUAGUUUGCUGUGUUUGUUACAGUGCCUGGCAUUUGGUAGGGGUUGAGUAAAUGUAUACAGAAUAAAUGAAGCCUGGGAGAAGGAGUUCCAGUUAAGAGUUCUAAUAAAUAACUGUUUUUU
Molecule: long non-coding RNA, 970 nt
Filed under: Homo sapiens (human)
Lineage: Eukaryota; Metazoa; Chordata; Mammalia; Primates; Hominidae
Description: HSALNT0056122
Source: RNAcentral